RNAcentral lists this long non-coding RNA (461 nucleotides) under Hordeum vulgare. Its description in RNAcentral is "long non-coding RNA (HVUL_LNC009068)". The record is from RNAcentral. Lineage: Eukaryota; Viridiplantae; Streptophyta; Magnoliopsida; Poales; Poaceae.
UUCUUGGGUUGGGUUGAAAGUUGGUGUGCGGUCUUUUUAUAGUAUAGGUAAACCGCGUGCCAAAUAUCAUCGCAAUCGGAGUUCGUUUGAUACCCCAACAGUUAAGUCUAGCAGCACCGUCAUCGGUUUAAAUAUUGGACGAUUUUCAGUUUUAUAAACUUGUGUCACGGGCCGCAUUCUUCCUCUCUUCUUCUCUCAGUACAAACACCCCUACACAACCCACCUAGCCCAACCUACCCUAUCCUGCCAUCGAAGUCGUCUGAUUGUGAUCGAAUGGUCCGAAUCAGGCAAAAUCAGCUAAACCUAGCCCCCCUUGCUUUAUAUGGACAUCUAGCCCUGCCCAACAUGGAAACCCUAGUCUCCUCAUUGAAUUCCCCAUGCAACUACUGCUUGGCGCCACAGCCUCCCACUUUCCUCUCCUCCCUCGUCCCAUCCAUCAGGGCCCGCCAAAGCCCAUCGCG